RNAcentral lists this ribosomal RNA (250 nucleotides) under uncultured bacterium. RNAcentral's name for it is "partial 16S ribosomal RNA". It matches the Rfam family "Archaeal small subunit ribosomal RNA", at positions 474 to 723 of the family's 1478-position model. The record is from RNAcentral. RNAcentral also lists the same sequence under 1 other name.
CACCGGCGGCUCGAGUGGUAACCGUUAUUAUUGGGUCUAAAGGGUCUGUAGCCGGCCGGAUAAGUCUCUUGAGAAAUCUGGCAGCUUAACUGUCAGGCUUUCAGGAGAUACUGUCUGGCUCGAGGCCGGGAGAGGUGAGAGGUACUUCAGGGGUAGGGGUGAAAUCUUGUAAUCCUUGAAGGACCACCAGUGGCGAAGGCGUCUCACCAGAACGGACCUGACGGCAAGGGACGAAAGCUAGGGGCACGAA